AAACCCUUUAAGUUCCUUGAAAAUUUUCUUUUUUCUGAUGACAUGAAGUGCAGAUGAAUGCAUGAAUGCAUGAAUGCAACAAUCACACUCAAGGAUCAAGCAAGGCACACCAAACAAAGGUCGUGGGAAAGCUCAUUGUAUCCCUAAUAUCAAUCAUCCAUUUUGGUGGAUUUAGGUUUUCACCUUAUCGACACCCAAGUUCCAUUGAUAUUAACGGUACAUGAACCG
RNAcentral lists this long non-coding RNA (228 nucleotides) under Lathyrus oleraceus (garden pea). Its description in RNAcentral is "Pisum sativum (pea) long non-coding RNA (PSAT_LNC034284)". The record is from RNAcentral. Lineage: Eukaryota; Viridiplantae; Streptophyta; Magnoliopsida; Fabales; Fabaceae.